CGCGCGCGCACUAGAAGAGUUCGACACGCGCAGCAAGGGCGUGCAGCAGGCGCCGAGCUGCGUGCAGGCACGCGACGGCCACGGCAAGGAAGCUCCGCGAGCUGGGCGACUACGCGUCCGUCAAGCAGAGCAGGGCAGUCAUGCCAUGGGAAAGAAGCAGCGCGCGGCGAGGGAAACAGACUCCGGCAAAUCCCAGGGCGUGGCCAUGGGAGACUCGUUAGGGGCACGGCCGAGCAGAAAUGGAGCUCGGCAAACUCCAUGGGCGAGCAGAGCGCAGGGAAAUCCGAGCUCAGCAGAGAGAUGAAGAUGCGAGGGAGAGCUGAGGGAGAAAGAAGACGUCUGGGCGCAAGAGCACGCGCGGUCGAGCAGGGGCCGGACAGAGUAAGCGCGCGAGAGAGAGAGAGCUCGCGGCUAGCUGGGCGUGCGUAGGGAGGAGCAGAGGUGAGGGCGCUGGUGUCCAUGGCUAGGCGCAGGAGCGAGCUGGAUGGACGCAGCUCCACGGCGCAGACGCCAGAGCGAGCAGGAACGGCG
RNAcentral lists this unclassified non-coding RNA (531 nucleotides) under Zea mays. RNAcentral's name for it is "misc RNA Zm00001eb334660". The record is from RNAcentral. Lineage: Eukaryota; Viridiplantae; Streptophyta; Magnoliopsida; Poales; Poaceae.